This 253-nucleotide ribosomal RNA is filed under the name uncultured bacterium. RNAcentral describes it as "partial 16S ribosomal RNA". It matches the Rfam family "Bacterial small subunit ribosomal RNA", at positions 524 to 776 of the family's 1533-position model. The record is from RNAcentral.
UACGGAAGGUGCAAGCGUUGUUCGGAAUGACUGGGCGUAAAGCGCAUGUAGGCGGGUCUGUAAGUCAGCUGUGAAAUCCCAGGGCUUAACCUUGGAAUUGCGGUUGAAACUACAGAUCUUGAAUACCUAAGAGGGUGGCGGAAUUCCGGGUGUAGUAGUGAAAUACGUAGAUAUCCGGAGGAACACCAGAGGCGAAGGCGGCCACCUGGUGGUGUAUUGACGCUGAAGUGCGAAAGCGUGGGGAGCAAACAGG